This 1342-nucleotide long non-coding RNA is filed under the name Equus asinus (donkey). RNAcentral describes it as "lncRNA (ENSEASG00005025975.1)". The record is from RNAcentral. Lineage: Eukaryota; Metazoa; Chordata; Mammalia; Perissodactyla; Equidae.
GGCCACUUUACAAAAGAGGGAGGAAAUCAUACUUUCUUAGAUCAUUACACUGAACUUGCAGAAUGACUAAUCCAUACGUUCAAAGCCAUGGCUUUUAUUCCAAGGGAAACCUUAGUCUCUGCUCAAGAUCAGAGUUUAAGGCAGCCUAGGACCUCAACCUAGGGUUAAAGAGCUUGGUGUACCCUUCCCAGAGCCUGCUCUGAGAUGCUUCAGAAAGAAUCUAGAUUCUCUUCCUUGCUCUGAUGCUAAAUGUAUGGUUUUACACAAUCAGUAUCUUCAUAUCCAAAAUGGUGAGACAAUCAACACCCUCCUGGAUCUCAAAGAACUGCCAUAAUGACCAAAUAAGAAAAUGUGUAAGAAAAUGCUUGUAACUACAAAGUGCAAUUCAUAUAUAAGAGAUGAUGAUGAUGAUGGUGAUGGAGGACAUGGCUAAAAUCCACCAACUGGGUGCAGAUGGAUCUUGAUGCAACGUACUAGAAAAGAGUGGAUAAGAGUCACAGCUUGCUAUUUUCAGAUCUUUGCAAGAGAGAGUCAGGAGUAACUGAGUGGAAGACAAAGAAAAAACACUGUGAUGAGGAAGGCAUGGAAAGAAGACGAGUGAACAAUCUUCUCUGAAGGAGAGACCGUGUUGCAUCCUAACACUUUUUUCCUAACCGGUCUAAGGACAUCAGGACAAACCUCCCUAAGAAAUAACAGCUAAACUGAGACCUGAUGGAUCUGUAGACAGACGGCAGCAAGCUGACAGCCCUUCAGAAGCAAGAGCCUCUACAAGCUGAGAGAAGCGGAAAGAACAAGAUAGAUGCUGAUAUAGAAGCCAAGAUCCUGCACCCUUGGGCCACGUCCCGACGAAGAAACACUUCAGACGAAGUGCAUGUAAUAUGCAGGCUAGAAGAUAUGUGUGCAAAUGCAGAUGAAACUUACUGACCAAGGGACACCAGGAGGGACACGAAAACCUAGAGAACUAAGUGGGCAAGAUGCCCAGGCAGCGGACAGAAGACAGAGAUGAACAAAAUCCAAAGAGCCACCUGGGGAACAGAUGGGGACCGGGCACCAGAAUACUCUUCCCAAAUCAAAUGGAAAUCAGGAAGCCUGUCCAAAGAUUUGAGGGACAGGGAGAGUGAGCAACGCAGAGGGAAUCAUGACCAAUAAGCUCCUUUCCUGAAGAACGUGGCUAAAGCAGGUCCAGGCACAAUGGGGGUUCCUGUUAAAUGUUUAUAAUAUGUUCAACCAGUUCUAGUGGGAAAUCUCAAAGGAUACUACAAUUUUCAACCUUAAAAUACCCUUUUUCUUCAGUGGGUAUAUUUGUUUUUAAGAAGCCAAGUACAAUAAAAUAUUCAUCGUG